AUUGAACGCUGGCGGCAGGCCUAAAACAUGCAAGUCGAACGAGUGGCGGACGGGUGAGUAAUUUCUGGGAAACUGCCCGAUGGAGGGGGAUAACUACUGGAAACGGUAGCUAAUACCGCAUACCAUCGGCAGUGCCCAGAUGGGAUUAGCUAGUAGGUGGGGUAACGGCUCACCUAGGAGACGAUCCCUAGCUGGUCUGAGAGGAUGACCAGCCACACUGGAACUGAGACACGGUCCAGACUCAUACGGGAGGCAGCAGUGGGGAAUAUUGCACAAUGGGCGCAAGCCUGAUGCAGCCAUGCCGCGUGUAUGAAGAAGGCCUUCGGGUUGUAAAGUACUUUUAGCGAGGAGGCGUUACCCGCAGAAGAAGCACCGGCUAACUCCGUGCCAGCAGCCGCGGUAAUUC
This 406-nucleotide ribosomal RNA is filed under the name uncultured bacterium. Its description in RNAcentral is "partial 16S ribosomal RNA". It matches the Rfam family "Bacterial small subunit ribosomal RNA", at positions 30 to 526 of the family's 1533-position model. The record is from RNAcentral.